UCUGAAUCUGCGAACGGCUCCGCAUACCAGUUGUAAACCAUAGCAAGCCAACCUUGGGAAGACCCGAUCAAAAGGGAUGACCCUUGGUUGAAUAAGGAUACCCAUGGUAAUUCUGAGGCUAAUACAAGUAUAUACCGACUUGGUCAACCGGGAAACUGGAAGGCUGGGGGUCGUGUGAAGCUUAACUGCAACACCGACCUAGGAAACGAUGCACAAUCAGACCACCACACAAACGGUCUCGUUCUGAGGCAAGUACCUUCGGGGAAAGCCAAAGGGCUUGACUGGGUGGCUCUUGCUUUGUGCUUCUGACCUAUCAACUCGAUGGCAGCGUAAGGGACAUGCUAUGGUUACAAC
This 354-nucleotide ribosomal RNA is filed under the name Physarum leucophaeum. Its description in RNAcentral is "SSU rRNA". It matches the Rfam family "Eukaryotic small subunit ribosomal RNA", at positions 80 to 356 of the family's 1831-position model. The record is from RNAcentral. Lineage: Eukaryota; Evosea; Eumycetozoa; Physariida; Physaraceae.